RNAcentral lists this long non-coding RNA (541 nucleotides) under Homo sapiens (human). Its description in RNAcentral is "non-protein coding lnc-KHDRBS3-21:1". Lineage: Eukaryota; Metazoa; Chordata; Mammalia; Primates; Hominidae. The record is from RNAcentral.
ACAAUCUUUCCUCCAGCCACACAGCUGCAAGCUUCUUAGGCUGCUCCUUUAGCCCGAACUAGCCCCUCCGUUUACACAAUAAUUUCUGUCCUACUCAUGCCUUGCUUUGCCCAGUUGUGCUUGAUGCUUGAAACCCUCUGUAACAACCCUGAACAGUAGAACUUUCUACUGGAUGAUAUAAAGUGUUAGAAGCACUGAUUUGUUAAGAAAAUUUCCAGAGUCACACAGCUAUAACUGGCAAAGCUGUACUUCAAACUUGGAAAGUCGACUUCUAGAAUCCAGAAGUUUAAGCCCUAGACCAGCGUUUUUCAAAGUGUGGUUCCCAGACCAGCAGCGGCGGUGUCACCUGGAACUUAUCACAAAGACAAGCUUCCGAGCCAACUUCAGACCUACUCAUUGGAAGCUCAAGGUGGGGUUAUGAUGGGAUCAGAUACCUGAGUGAUAACAAGCUUUUCAGAUGAGUUUAUGCAGGCUUGAGCUUGAGGAUCAUUGAUCUAUACUGUGUUACCUUCCCAAAUAACAAGAACACUCAAAAGCCUGU